This 253-nucleotide ribosomal RNA is filed under the name uncultured bacterium. RNAcentral describes it as "partial 16S ribosomal RNA". It matches the Rfam family "Bacterial small subunit ribosomal RNA", at positions 524 to 776 of the family's 1533-position model. The record is from RNAcentral.
UACGUAGGGUGCAAGCGUUGUCCGGAAUUAUUGGGCGUAAAGAGCUCGUAGGCGGUUUGUCGCGUCUGCUGUGAAAACUCGGGGCCUAACCCCGGGCCUGCAGUGGGUACGGGCAGACUAGAGUGCGGUAGGGGAGACUGGAAUUCCUGGUGUAGCGGUGAAAUGCGCAGAUAUCAGGAGGAACACCGGUGGCGAAGGCGGGUCUCUGGGCCGUAACUGACGCUGAGGAGCGAAAGCAUGGGGAGCGAACAGG